AUUAAAUGCGAUAUUAGCUUUAAAUUUCUGACCUAUCAGCUGUAAACCGUGGGCUAUUGGCCGACCGUGGCGAUGACCGGCAACGGCGAACUGGGCUUUGAUAGCGGCGAAGGCGCGUAAGAAACCGCGACCACCAGCAAAGAAGGCAGCCGUCGUGCGAACUAUCCGAUUCUGAUUCAGGGCGGCAGCGAUAAAAAAUAACAGUAUCGUACCUUUUGGUUUUGCAACUGGAACGAACUGAGCAUUAACCCGUUUACCAGCAUUAACUGGCGUGCGAGCCUGGUGCCGGCGGCGGCGGUGAUUCCGGCGCCGAUUGCGUAUAUUAAAGUGGUGGCGGUGAAAAAACUGGUGGUGGGCUUUCUGCUGAUUAUUUAUAUUAAAUAUUUUGAUGAAUAUCUGUAUAACAUUAACAUUAUUCAUAUUACCAUUUAUUUUAGCAUUUAAAACUUUACCCUGCGUAAACUGGAAUGCCUGAAACAGGCGUAUGCGCUGAACACCCCGGCGUGGAACAACAUUAAAGAUUUUUAUCUGAGCUAUUGGUUUUAAGAUAAAAACAACGAUUAAUAAGGCCAGCUGGGCGCGUUUGUGUUUAACAGCCAGCGUUAAAACAGCUAAAUUUGCUAACGUCAGACCAACGCGAAAGCGUUUGCGAAAGAUGUGUUUAUUAACCAGGAACGUAAACUGGGCGAUCGUACCCGUAGCGAUACCGUGGUGGUGCUGACCAUUAACUAUGCGAACUAACGUCUGGAAGUGGUGCCGUAUAGC
This 765-nucleotide ribosomal RNA is filed under the name Cryptosporidium parvum. Its description in RNAcentral is "SSU rRNA". It matches the Rfam family "Eukaryotic small subunit ribosomal RNA", at positions 280 to 1073 of the family's 1831-position model. The record is from RNAcentral. Lineage: Eukaryota; Apicomplexa; Conoidasida; Eucoccidiorida; Cryptosporidiidae.